This 465-nucleotide ribosomal RNA is filed under the name Vreelandella stevensii. RNAcentral describes it as "partial 16S ribosomal RNA". It matches the Rfam family "Bacterial small subunit ribosomal RNA", at positions 338 to 795 of the family's 1533-position model. Lineage: Bacteria; Pseudomonadati; Pseudomonadota; Gammaproteobacteria; Oceanospirillales; Halomonadaceae. The record is from RNAcentral.
CCUACGGGAGGCUGCAGUGGGGAAUAUUGGACAAUGGGGGGAACCCUGAUCCAGCCAUGCCGCGUGUGUGAAGAAGGCCCUCGGGUUGUAAAGCACUUUCAGUGAGGAAGAACGCCUGGUGGUUAAUACCCAUCAGGAAAGACAUCACUCACAGAAGAAGCACCGGCUAACUCCGUGCCAGCAGCCGCGGUAAUACGGAGGGUGCGAGCGUUAUUCGGAAUUACUGGGCGUAAAGCGCGCGUAGGUGGCUUGAUAAGCCGGUUGUGAAAGCCCCGGGCUCAACCUGGGAACGGCAUCCGGAACUGUCAAGCUAGAGUGCAGGAGAGGAAGGUAGAAUUCCCGGUGUAGCGGUGAAAUGCGUAGAGAUCGGGAGGAAUACCAGUGGCGAAGGCGGCCUUCUGGACUGACACUGACACUGAGGUGCGAAAGCGUGGGUAGCAAACAGGAUUAGAUACCCUGGUAGUC